This 139-nucleotide small nucleolar RNA is filed under the name Vulpes vulpes (red fox). Its description in RNAcentral is "Small nucleolar RNA SNORA42/SNORA80 family (ENSVVUG00000021445.1)". It matches the Rfam family "Small nucleolar RNA SNORA42/SNORA80 family". From Rfam's summary of the family: The members of this family belong to the H/ACA class of snoRNAs that guide the sites of modification of uridines to pseudouridines. Human ACA42 (SNORA42) was cloned from HeLa cells by immunoprecipitation with anti-GAR1 antibody. Lineage: Eukaryota; Metazoa; Chordata; Mammalia; Carnivora; Canidae. The record is from Rfam by way of RNAcentral.
GAAUAGUGAUGGAUUGAUGGCAGGCCUUUCUCUGUGGGCCUCUCAUACUAUGUCAAUGCCAGAGGAGCGUGCAGCCCUGAACCACUGCCCAGCUCCUCCUCACUGGUGGGCUGUGAGCACUGAAGGCAGCUAUACAGGG